Molecule: ribosomal RNA, 447 nt
Filed under: uncultured bacterium
Lineage: Bacteria
Description: bacterial SSU rRNA
Rfam family: Bacterial small subunit ribosomal RNA
Source: RNAcentral
UCCAGACUCCUACGGGAGGCAGCAGUGGGGGAUAUUGCACAAUGGGGGGAACCCUGAUGCAGCGACGCCGCGUGGGCGAUGGAGCGCCUCGGCGCGUAAAGCCCUCUCAGCAGGGAAGAAGAUGACGGUACCUGACUAAGAAGCCCCGGCUAAAUACGUGCCAGCAGCCGCGGUAAUACGUAUGGGGCAAGCGUUAUCCGGAUUUACUGGGUGUAAAGGGAGCGCAGGCGGCCUGGCAAGCCUGAUGUGAAAUACCGGGGCCCAACCCCGGGGCUGCAUUGGGAACUGCCAGGCUGGAGUGCCGGAGAGGCAGGCGGAAUUCCUAGUGUAGCGGUGAAAUGCGUAGAUAUUAGGAGGAACACCAGUGGCGAAGGCGGCUCCCUGGACUGUAACUGACACUGAGGCACGAAAGCGUGGGUAGCAAACAGGAUUAGAUACCCUAGUAGA